RNAcentral lists this long non-coding RNA (1605 nucleotides) under Brassica napus (rape). RNAcentral describes it as "long non-coding RNA (BNAP_LNC021295)". The record is from RNAcentral. Lineage: Eukaryota; Viridiplantae; Streptophyta; Magnoliopsida; Brassicales; Brassicaceae.
CCCUCCUUUUUCCUUUGGCUACAUGUGCAAGAAAAUGAGGGUGAAGGAUAAUGUUAUUAGUGUAUCAAUAACUAACAAAUUACGACACAUAAAUAAUCUAUGCAUGAAACUGUUUGAGUGGAGAAAAGAAGCGACUUCAGAGGUUGGGGGAUGUUGUGGGUCGUUGCUUCUUACGCAAGAGGUAGUUUAUGAGCAUCCCAACUAAGGGGAAACCUGUUACCACGCUUAUGUAACCAACCAACCAUAUGGAUCCUUUUCUCUGCCGGCAUAGUUUGUUAAAGCUUGUCUUUGUUACAUUAUCCUCACACUGUGGUCCGGUCUGGUUCAAUAGUUGUGUUGCUUCUUCUGAUGAUGGAGCAGUGAUAUUGGUGUUUUGCUCGUACUUGACUGCUGCCACCAACCCGUCUUCUGCAGUGUUUAGGUACGGGCCUUGGUUUAUCGAAGGCUCCUCCUGCUUCCCUGAUUCUGAGCUUCUACUUUCUUGAAUCUGCACAAAACUGAAUUGGUGACUUUCUUGUUGAUAAUCUUAGGAAGAAAUCAAUAGACUGGACGGACGAACGAUUUUGUAAUCUAGAUUUGCAAUUCCAACAAAGAGAAACUUACUUUCUGUACAUGCAUAUGACGACUGCAGCUAAGGGCGCCAAGAAACUCAUUGGUGGCCCGAACCCACCUGUACACAGCAUACAUAUAACAGUAAAAAAAGAACAAUAAGCAUAACCUGGUUCCUAAAAUUUGUAAGAAUGAAUCUUAGAGAGAUACCGACCACAAGCUAGAUGCAGUUAGUCCUUCGAAGAAUGCUAGAUGUCCCCCGUGAUUCGUUGUCGCCAAGACAAUGUUUUUGUUUGCCCUUUUCCAAAGUAACUUUAUGUCAAUACUGUGUAUAUGUAAUAGGAUUUAAGAUUUAAAAGAGAUAACGAACUAUUAUUUACCAGCAUUCCUCCCAAGGAAUAGCUUCCUUUGUGCAUAACGGAUCAUCUAGAGCACUGAUACAGAGUAGUAGGAAAGAUUACAAAUCAUAAACAUAAACGAAUUAAGAAAUAGGCAAGUUGUAGCCGUCUCUCUCUCUCCUCUCCAAGUCUCGCGGCCACCUCUCUCUCUCUAGAGUUGGACCGUCUCUCUCUAAGUGUAUGAACCGGUUAUGGACCAGACUGGUUAUGGACAUCCACCAAUUGAUUUAUAACAUUUAUUUAUUUUUGCUGUCAUACUCUGAAAAUUCCCUUACAAGAUUCCAUGUGUACAACUACAUAAUCGUCAUGGUUAUGAUAAGGAGUCUUCUUCUACACAAAUUUUCCGAGCCCUCCUUUUUCCUUUGGCUACAUGUGCAAGAAAAUGAGGGUGAAGGAUAAUGUUAUUAGUGUAUCAAUAACUAACAAAUUACGACACAUAAAUAAUCUAUGCAUGAAACUGUUUGAGUGGAGAAAAGAAGCGACUUCAGAGGUUGGGGGAUGUUGUGGGUCGUUGCUUCUUACGCAAGAGGUAGUUUAUGAGCAUCCCAACUAAGGGGAAACCUGUUACCACGCUUAUGUAACCAACCAACCAUAUGGAUCCUUUUCUCUGCCGGCAUAGUUUGUUAAAGCUUGUCUUUGUUACAUUAUCCUCACACUG